This 119-nucleotide ribosomal RNA is filed under the name Pteropus alecto (black flying fox). The record is from RNAcentral. Lineage: Eukaryota; Metazoa; Chordata; Mammalia; Chiroptera; Pteropodidae.
GUCUACAGCAAUGCCACCCUGAAUGUGCCCAAUCUCGUCUGAUCUCAGAAGCUAAGCAGGGUUGGGCCUGCUUAGUACUUGGAUGGGAGACCACCUAGGAAUACUAGGUGCUGUAGGUG